GACGAACGCUGGCGGCGUGCUUAACACAUGCAAGUCGAACGGAAAGGCCCUGCUUUUGUGGGGUGCUCGAGUGGCGAACGGGUGAGUAACACGUGAGUAACCUGCCCUUGACUUUGGGAUAACUUCAGGAAACUGGGGCUAAUACCGGAUAGGAGCUCCUGCUGCAUGGUGGGGGUUGGAAAGUUUCGGCGGUUGGGGAUGGACUCGCGGCUUAUCAGCUUGUUGGUGGGGUAGUGUCUUACCAAGGCUUUGACGGGUAGCCGGCCUGGGAGGGUGACCGGCCACAUUAGGACUGGAAUGAGACACAGACUCCUACGGGAGGCAACAGUGGGGAAUAGUGUACAAUGGGCGGAAGCCUGAUGCGGCAACGCCGCGUGCGGGAUAACGGCCUUCGGGUUGUAUACCGCUUUCGCCUGUGACGAGGCGUGAGUGACGGUAAUGGGUAAAGAAGCACCGGCUAACUACGUG
RNAcentral lists this ribosomal RNA (468 nucleotides) under uncultured bacterium. RNAcentral describes it as "partial 16S ribosomal RNA". It matches the Rfam family "Bacterial small subunit ribosomal RNA", at positions 28 to 507 of the family's 1533-position model. The record is from RNAcentral.